Molecule: non-coding RNA, 9699 nt
Organism: Struthio camelus australis
Lineage: Eukaryota; Metazoa; Chordata; Aves; Struthioniformes; Struthionidae
Source: RefSeq, a predicted model, not a curated record
UCUCUAGGGGCCAGUUUCUCUCGGGCGUCUCCGUGAAGCCUCCGUGAAGAGGCAAACACGAGGGGCUACGUUUACGGGAAGCUUGAAGUCAUAAGGGUGUUCUAGUGGUGAGAGAGUUUGUUUUCUCUAGAAACGCGUUGAAAAAAAAAUCAGCUUACUUUAUGUAAUUCAUCCGAGUAACACUUCCUGCCUCUCCGCCCCGGAGUUGUUCGCCGAAAAGUAGUAUGUAAACAAGAAGUGGACUCUUUUUUUUCCACCCCUGUGUGCCUUGAGCUAGUUUUGCGAGAUGAACACUGUAAACGAAGAAGUUAAGCCAGCAGAUGCUAAACCGGAAUCUGAAAAAUUAUUUCAUUAUUGUGAAGUGAGUAAAUUUCUUGAUGUCUUUGCAGAAUAUAGGCUAAAAUACAGGCUUGUGGUAUUAAAGACUAUGCUUGUAGAAAUUUGUGUGGAACUGACUUGGCUGCAGUGCAGCAAACUUGUAUGUUAGAGAUGCUGUUAAUGUGGAGAAGAACUUGGCCAGCCCCUGUAAGAGCUAGUUGUGUAUGACGUGGUGAAUUCAUUUGUGACAGCUCAAGAAUAAACUGCGGUAUUAUGGUCCUUACUUGCUAGCUUUCAAAUCUGUUAGGUGUUUAUUGCAAUUUUAAAGGCUCUUGCCUCUUUAGAGGAUGAAACUCUGAGUCAUAAUAUGUUUUAUGUCUUUUGUAAAUCAUAUUCUGGUGGGCUUUGUCUGGUGUAUUAAAUAUGUGGGAUAGUAGAUAGAGGGUGUAUAUUGGUAGAGGUGUACCAAUAUACAGGUGUAUAUUGGUAUUUUAGCUGAAGAUAGUAAAUAUCUUUAGAUCUGUAUCUUCAUGUAUUAAUCAUUCUGACUGUAUAUGCAUGUCUGUUAUUCCUAGCAGAGCGCGUAUGACUUCCAGCGUUGUUUCUCUGAUCCCCUUUAAUGUAACAAUGAGCGCAACUGCAGUCAUUCUAGGAUAUAGUUCUGUCUCUGUUCCCUCCUAAGCACUGUGCAAUCAUGUCUUUCUGUUGGCUUUCCAGUGAGGAGAUGUUUAGAAAGCUAAGAAUCCAGACAGUGGAGGGGGGAGUGAAGGAGAGACUCUUAAAAGGUUCAUACCACUUCUUAUUUUUAAAGAUGUAUUCAAGUAUUGUUUACAGGUAUGAUGCAUGCUACUUCUGGUCAUGUUAAUGGUGUGCUGUUAUUCUGAAUUUUGUGUGACUUGUGGUGUUUAAGCAAAUGAAAACCUUGACAGUUCUUGCUGUAAGCGUAGGUUUGUUUCCAGUUCUUACAGAUAUUUUAUAGUUGAUCAGUUAUAGCAAAACUGAUGAUAUGUUUUCAGUUUAUCCUUUCAGGUUUUUAAAGUUCCACGUAUGAGUUCUAUAAGGCCUCAGUGGCACUAUCAUGGUGCAAAGCAUAGAAAGCAUGGACUUGGAGUAGCAAAAACCUAUUCAAAGUCAACUCAGUUGUUGGGGUGUAUCUCUUUUCCCAUAAACUGAGAACACGAGUCCAGACUGUCAUGUAUCAACGAAAAUAGCAGAGUUAUGGGAAGAGACCGAGAACCUGGAGUAUAAUUUGCUCACAGCUGAAGUGGAUAUCUCACUUGAAAGACUCUGAUGUUGCACUAGAAAAGCAGUACUGAUGAAUGUAAUCUUAAACACGAUUUCUGAAGAGAUUACUGCUUCAGGACCGUAAAGCUUUGUUUUGGAGGAAAAAGCAUGGUGUCAAGAGGAAGAAUGAAAUCUGAAGAUAAGCUGCAUUUAUGUGACUGCCAAGUUACUACAUGUGACUACGAGUCCUUCCUCCUCUGAAGGCACAAAUAUCCUGUGUUCUGCAUUGGAUUCAGCAAUUAAAUAUAUCCUGAUCAGCAUUUUGGCUUUCUGAUACAAGAUAAACUAACUUUUUUAGCAUGCCACUCUAUGAUCAGUGUGUGCCAAGCAAGCAUUCUGAUGUGUAUAUAUGAUUUUGGGGUGCUACUUUGUUCAGAGAAAGGAAACUUGGAAGUUCUUUUCCAAAUUCAGACUAGAAUAGAAGAUAAUUCUGAAAUUUUAAUCAUAUACAUGCUGUGAAUGAGCACUACUCCAGCGGCCUUAUCACCUCUCUCUGGGGCUUUCCCCCAUGUAACAGAAUAUAGAGUCUCUGUUAAUUUCACCUCAGGAAUUCAAAAGGAAUCUACUGGGCUGAGUCCAGUGCAGCUGUGUUGUCUCUGAGUAACUGAAAUGACAACAUCUGAAACUGUCCUUAAUUUUGAAAUUUAGUUAUUUUCUUUCUAACAGUCAGUAAGAAUGUGAUUGCAUUACGAAUACUUGUAUAGACCUAAGAUAUGUUUUCAGGACCACUUCAUCGAAUAUUGAAAGGAGAGGAUUAUUUGUUUAAUUAGGUAACUAGUCUCUAAAAAGUAUCCUUACUGAAUAAAAAUCAUUACUUGGAAGGGAUUGCUUGAGGUUAUCUAAUCUUCCUGGUUGAAACAGGACUACUGCUAAUGCUAGAUCAUCGCUUCCCUAUCAAAGUUUUGAAAAUCCCCAAGGCCAGAGAGUUUGCAAGCUAUGUGUAAACCAAUCUGUUGUUGCUCCCCUGUCUUAAAGGAGAACUGUCCUAUCAUCUAAUUGCAGCUCAUUAGCAAAUGUUUCUGGCUACUAUUGUUUUCUUAUGCUGUCAGGCACUGCCCCAAAUUAUUUGACUCAUCUUUAUAACUGCCCUUCUGCCUUGGGCCGCUACUAGAUCACCCCUUAACCUCCACUUCUCCAGAAUAGGCAAGCCCAGCUCCCAUAGUAUCCUCAUAGCCAAACUGAGGACAUACAGUCUAGACAGGUGGACUACAGGAUGAGUAAAAGGUGGUUGCGCUGUCAGGCUCAAAGGGCAGAUGUCAGUGGUUUUAAGUGUGUUGGCCAGUUACUGGUGGUGUUCCUCAGUGGUUGAUUCUGAGGCCGGCACUGUUUAAUAUCUUCAUUAAUGACCUGGAUAAUGUGGUGGAGCAUACAACUGUCAAGUUUGCAGGGGGCAUCAAUUUAGAGAGAACGCAUUAUACGUGGUAUAGGACAAGAAUCCUGAAGUUCACUACAGACAAAUGUGAAGUACUCUGUUUGGGAUUGAGCAACCAUCUGCUGGAUGCAGGCUGGAUACUGAUGGGCUAGGGAGCAAAUCCUCAGUUAGUAACCUGCAGAUUUUGAUGUACAAUAAUAUGAAUAUGAAUCGGCAAUUUGCACUUGCUGUAGCUAGCAUCAUACUAGGCUGCACUAGUGUGAGCAUAGCCAGUAGGUUGAAGGCUUUUUCCUUUCUGCUCAGGACUUAAAAGGCUGCUUCUGAAAUACCAUCCUGCAUACAUAUGAGAUUUGGAUGAGGAAAGAGUCAGCAGAGGACUCACCAGCUAGAAAUAUCAUGAGGAGACUGGAGCAUAUGAUGUGGAAAGUAGCUGGGGGAAACAGUGUUUAAUUAACCUGGAGAAGGCAGUGACCAAGGAAGGGAUCUAAUUGUUGUCUUCUACUACUUAAAGGAUGGCUACAGAGAAGGAGCUACACUUCUUGAAGGAAAAUGUAAAGACUUUUCUCAUCUAAAAUACAGACUGAGUGUCCUGGUGGAUUUCAAGUAUAACAGGCCACACUUCCUAUGGAAAACAGUAUAGAAAGCAUGAAAGAAAGUGCCCAGUCUGGAGUCUGUUAAAAUUGUUUAAGGCUAAUUAUGCUAAUUGUUUGAGGCCACUGAUGUCAAUAUCUCGAGAUGAAUUUCCAUCAGGGGAAAGCAUCCAAAAACACUAUAAGCUGUAUGGAAAAUCUAAAGUGUUUUGAAUAGACUACGAGGAAAGGAUAUACCGACAAUGACCAGGAUGCUGAAACAGUUGGCUUCAUAUUAUCCAGCACUUCAGAAAUUCAAUAUUCAGACAUUAGUCAAUGUGCUAGUAGGAACUAGAGAAAAAGAUUAAGAAGCAACAGCAGCGGAACUGGAAACAUGAACAGAUUCAAGAUUCUCCAUCUCUUGGCUUUCAGGAAAGAGACUGCAUUUAAUUCUGUGUUUGUUUUUGGAAGGGGAAAGGGAGGUAGAGUUUAAUCCUGUAAUAUGUUAAAUUUAGAUGAAACACAAACUUCCACAUAGUAGAGGUUAACAUACUAUUUCGUUUUGGCUUUUUAAAUGUAUUUGUUAUAUCUUAGUAUAUCGCAGAGAAACCUUUUAUUAUUUUUGAAAAUAUGUCAACAUCUGCCAAAAGCUAAUCACCCUUUUAAACCCUCUCCCACACACAAAAAGAAAGUUUUACUUUUAUAUUAUCUAUUUAGGAAGAAUAUUCACUGAAAACAUGGGUCCAUUGCAUGAAAAUAUAGAUGUACUUUUCUUCACACAAAUUUAAGGCCAGUUUAAUGCUUUAUGAUUAGUUGUUGUUUUUAGAAAUGGAUACACUACACUUCUCUUUCACUCACUUUAGCAGAGUGAAAGGACGAUGUCACAGCAAAGCUGUUCUCUGGGCUUAAUGUGAUGUUAUAUGAGAAAAAUAUAAACACUUCUGGUGGAUAGGUAUGUAAUGGGGCAUUUUACUUAUUUUCAGUUUUGUAAUGUACAGAGACACAUGGGAAAUAUAUGCAGACUUUUUAAUCCCGUUGUUCAGAACAAACCUGUUACAAAUUAACUUAAAACCUCAUUUGAGUCACACUAGUAAUCCUGAAGCAACUAAUUGAUUCAUAUGAAGACAGAAAUUCUUCAUUGUUUCUACUGCAAGAGCAUAUUAAGAAAUAUUAGAAUUUACAGGGGAGUCAGAUAAAAUAAUGUUUAAGGAUAAUUUAAUUAAACAAAAUGACUUAGAAAUAUCUGGCAGUUCAUCACGUUUAUCAGUGGUUCAUGCUUAACUCUUCUUUUUCCCCCUGAGCCCUAAGAUGAGGUGACACUGAGUACCUGGCCUUAGACAUCUGCUUUGUAAAGUCACAUACGCCUUACCGUAAGACUAAAGAAAAGGAACUAGACUGAGGCAUAUUACUCCCAAAGUCUGUUUUAAUUUUCAUUGCUAUGUUGUGGACUGUCCUUUUUGCUUCUCACCCACACAUGAAAUACCUUGCUGUCUCUGCAUUAAAUACUUGUGCUAACCUGGGUUUGUCUUCAUGACCUGUCAUAAUAUCUUUGUGUACACUGAAGUAACAUUUGGAUCUUAUUAUGUAAAUUUUAAUACAAAGGUAACAAAGCAAUUGAUUAUAGAGUAUGUAAAUUUGAUUCUCUAAAAUUCUCCUUCUAUAAUUAUUUUUGCUUGUGCAUCAGAAAAGAUCCACUUUCCUUUUUUAUUCCCCUUCACUACUUCCUUUCUUCCUCCUCAUAUUUAUUGAAGGGUUUUAAGUGGUGUCUAACAGCUUGGUCUUAGUAGUUGUGCUAUACACUUCUAUCUAUUGAAUUACCAAUUGGACCUUCUAGUUUAAAGAAAAAAAUAUCUUACUUUCUUCCACAGGUGUCUGACAGUUUGGAAUUAAAAACUCUAUGGGAUUGAUCAGUUACUGUCUAUAUUGAAAAAUUAUCAGCAACUAUGUUUACCAGUUUUUUCACAGAAAGUGUAGUGUAACUAAAAUUGUGAAACUAGAAAAAAAAAAGGUUACCAAAAAGAUAUUCCUUACUUCUACAAUUCUAUCAAUCAGUUAAAGAUAAGACAUUUGAAUGCUGCUUUUUCAGUUGAGGUAAUUGUAGAGAACUCUUUUCCCAUUUCUCAUUCCCUUUGGGGUUGUACUGCUAUUAUUGUAUCUCCGAGUGGCAUAUAUCAGGUGGCUGACCUCUUCCUAAAAUAGAUGCUCUUUCUGCCUCCACGUUCCCAUGUUCUUAUUUUUUGUUCUGGGGAACAGUUCCUAUUCCUGCUUUUUUGCACUGGAUCCUGCACUAGGGAAACACUUGCUGCAUUUUGAAAUAGAGUUGGAAUAAUGACCAAGCUAAGGUAGGAAAUGCUUUUCAGUAUUGGUUUACUGAAGGUUCCAUGGUCUGUAGAUAAGCAUUGAGAGUCUGUAGAUGCCCCUUGUUUCUCUGUAGUUGUUCAGUUCUUACCAAAUUCAGUAAAGUUCUUGAGAUGAUUGUCUAUUGGUUCUUGUAUGUAAGCACUAUUAUCUAGGGAGUUUUUUUUAAGCUGAUGGUAUUUUGUAAUAUGUGCACCAAUCUUCCCUUAUUCCUAAUGUGCAAUUACUACCAACAGUGUAGUGUGUUUUUUCUCAGUUCCUUUCAGACAUUUGGAUGAGCCAAAGUUUGAGCUGCAUCACUGCUUUCUCCUUACUCUCUUUCUAUCUUUCUUCUUUGGAAAUUAAGGGCUUCAGUGUACAAUUUGGGUAGUGAUAUUGGGCUGGAGUUUGCCACUUGGCAGUCCCAAAUUUGACUGGCUAUUCGAUAUAGAUAUCACCUCCCCAACUGAUUUCAGACUUUUUUUUCCUCCUAUGUCCUUGUUCUUAUCAAACAGGUAUAGCCAACUUCUGUAUUAGCUGACUUCAAACAAGCACCUCUGUUAUCCCAGGAACACACUGCUUUGUGGAGUCCAAUUUCUUAGCAUUCAAAUGAAGGGGGGGAAAAAAGAAAAACAGAAGCAUCUUCAGGGUGCAGCUCUGUAAAGGGAUUGUUUGCCCUUGUGCCAGGAAUGAUUUUUUUUAUUACUUUUUAAAAAUUUCUUAUUCCUCCUCAUUCAGUUCAACCCUGCCACCUUUAAAGCAGGAUUCAGCUGAUACUAGGAAAAGGAAAGCAUAAUUCCAGGCACCUGACUCUUUAAAGCUCCAACUUUAAAACAAAACAAAAACAAAAAAAACCACAGACCUCUAGUGUCCCCAAAGGCAGCAGGUAAGAGGACCUCACAGAGAUGAAUAAGAAGAAGAAAAAAAAAAGUAGUAAAAUGGGCCCUAGUUCUGUCAUCCUCCCAGUUAUUUCUUCAACAUACAUGAGCUGAGACCUCUUGCUACUCCUGUUUUCCUGUCUUGGCCCCUUUCCUUGAAUCACCUUCUGGCUACUGCUUAUAUCCAGGGAAACUCAGUGCCAUAUCUACUGCCUCUUGCUCACAUGUAGUAUAGAACUGGAGCAGAAUGAGUCCUCUUCCUGUUCCUGUUUCUUUAGACUUUGGUCCUUCAUCAAGAAAUAAUUUUCAUAAGCUAGGCAUUGAUAGCCUGCAGAGCACCAUUGUUCAAAUGCUUGUCAUCCUUCAGCACUAAUACGACUAUACCACAAGCUUUUACACUGAGCAAGAUUUUUGAGGCUAUACCAGAGCCCUUUGAAAUAAUAUCACUUUUCCUUAUAAAAACCAUUGUUAAAAAUCCAAAGUAGAAAAUACUUUGGGGGAUAAACUGUAAAUUUUCUAGCUAGUAUAAUGAUUCAUAAUUUCUGCAAAAAAGGUUUGGAUACAACAGCCUGUGCCAGUUCUUGUCAGUAUUCCUCAUAUCUCUUCAGUGAUCUCUCAAAAAGUCCGUUGCUUGAUCUGCAGCUGUGGAGCAGACCUCUCCUGCCUAAAACCCCUUCCUUCUUAAAGCUCUUAUUUUCCAGUUGAAUUUCUAGUUACAAAAAGGAUGCUUUUAUUAGAAUAAGUAACUUCCAAAUUAAAAGGGAGGCUAUUUUAUGUUUCUCAGUCUGCAGUAUAUGUGCUUUCACAUCUUGAUCUGUUUUUUUGCAUCAGAAGCAUCUCUGUUUUCCACAGAGAUAGAGGCAUUCCAGUCCAGGGUUCUGCACUAUGGUGCUUCCCCAGCAGUAAGGCUCUUUUAGAAUGUUCUAGCUGUACUUGCUUUACACUAAAGACAGUGAAGGAUGAGACUGACUGAUAGAGGAUGACCUCUUUCACAGGACACAACCUGCCUAAUUUCUCUGGCUCCAGCUUUUUUUAGUUUCACUACCCUGGACCUGUUAAUAGUCUUCGAUGCUCUGGUCAGAUAUGUUAUCCAAAGGGAUGUGAUUUCCUAGUGGGACUCUAAUUUAGUCUUCUUCCCUUUUAAUGGAGAAGGUCUUUUGAGUCCAAGGCUCUUCCUUUAUUGCUUCUGAAAAAAACGUAUUUCGUGACUUCUCAGCUUUCUGGGUGGGUGAGGUGCAGGCUCUAACAGUUGGAUGUUUUUCUUUCUUAUCUAUCUCCAUAAAGACAAAUGAGCUUUCACAAUUCAUCCUUGUUGAAGUGGUUUUGACAUCUGUUUUUCAUUAUUCCUAAACCCCCCCCCCCACCCCCAACACACACACGCAUACCCACUAUCACACAGAAGUAAUCCAUUGCCCUUUGCAUGAUAAAAAUCCCUCUUGGAUGCACAGAAUCUCUUUGGGAGAACUCCUUGUUUUUAUGUGCUUAUGCUACAGAGCCCUUUGGAGACCAUCAGACUGUUUCCAGAUAUUUCAUACUAGAAAACAAUCUUUUAAAAAAAAAAAUGUUAAUCAAACUGUCACUAAGGUCCUGUUUCAUUAGCACUUGAGGACUGCAGUGUUUCAUUAGCACUGAUACCUGCAGUGUUGCCAUGUGGCUGUCUUUACCCUCAUGCUAGGUACUAUACUCUGGCUGGAGGUGCUUAGGAAUGAUGUUGAUUUUUAGGAGUGUUGCCUUUGGUUUGAGGACUGACCCUUCUCUGCAUAAUCUCCUAGAAUGGUUCUUGAUAUCACUCACAGCAUUGGUUUAUGUAUAAGUGCUCCUGUGAAAGACAGCUUAUUUCCCUGUAUCUGUAGUUAAUUAUGCAAUUGGAGACAAAUAGCAGCAUGUGGACUGCCUGCAUGCAACUACCUGGAGUGGGAGGUGGCCUUGGAAAUGCAUCAGUAUUGCAGUGGUUUAAGAAAAAGUCUUUGACUAAAAGCUCUUGCCUAUAGGUACCUUUGUGAACAUAUCCUGAAGAGUAACAGCUUCAGGUAAGUAAUAGUUCUGCUUGAAUAUUUUUUUAAUUGAAUUGGAUAAUGUAUUCCUUAAAUUACUAAAUUAAAAAAAAAAAAAACUUGCUAAUUUCUGUGUGCUUCUUCAAAGUUAUUGUGGGAGAUGGCAUGUGACAGGAAUCAUUAAUUGCUUUUUUUUGCAAUUAAUUUUUCACUGUGUCCCUCACCAGAUGUAGCUGGAGAGAUGAAGGGUAAGCUUUUGAGAACGUUUGACUGUCAACUCAAGGCCACAUCAGAGUAAGUGCUUCAACACAGAAGGAUUAGUUAUUUUAGAUGCAGAGCAGAGGGAACUACAUAUUCAGAGUAAUUAGAUGCCAGGUGUGGGUUUUUUUUUUUUUUUGUAGGACUCAUUGCAGAAGAUGUAUUGGACACAGGUGUUCAGAAAUUCUAUUUGAAGAUGUCCUGAAGAAGCUUUCUACUCUGAUUGUAAGGGAGAAAAGAAAAAGUGGCAGCUAGAAAAUGAAAAGAUUAAAGGCAAGAAUAAAAGCCAAGCCUAGGAACUGAGAGCACUUUGGAAAGUUCUGAAGAAAGAUGAGAAGUUGCUGAGAUACAAGUGACUUUUUGGAAAGUUCUGCUAAUCAAAAGCAAACCCCAAAGUCCAGUUAAGGGGAAAGGAUAAAGCAAGUUAAAAGAGGAUGAAUCACAGAAUAACAUUUAUUCUUCCUGGAUUUUAAUUUCCAAUGUGAAAGCAAAAAUAUCAAGGGCUUGACUGAUCAUCCAGUGACAAAACGAGAGUGUUGCUCUUUUCUAAGGACUCAUGAAAUGAAGAAGUCUACAACACCCCCUGACUGGUGAAGGUGCUGAAAUGCUACUUUGCAUUUGAUUUAUUGAUACUUGUCAAGCCGUGUCUUUUUUAUACAAAUGGCACGUGCAUGGCAACAGAAUUCUGA